RNAcentral lists this ribosomal RNA (460 nucleotides) under uncultured bacterium. RNAcentral's name for it is "partial 16S ribosomal RNA". It matches the Rfam family "Bacterial small subunit ribosomal RNA", at positions 338 to 795 of the family's 1533-position model. The record is from RNAcentral.
CCUACGGGAGGCAGCAGUGAGGAAUAUUGGUCAAUGGGCGCGAGCCUGAACCAGCCAAGUCGCGUGAGGGAGGACGGCCCUACGGGUUGUAAACCUCUUUUGCCGGGGAGCAACGGGCGUCACGUGUGGCGCCACUGAGAGUACCCGGAGAAUAAGCAUCGGCUAACUCCGUGCCAGCAGCCGCGGUCAUACGGAGGAUGCGCGCGGUAUCCGGAUUUAUUGGGUGUAAAGGGGGCGUAGGCGGAUCGUUAAGUCAGUGGUCAAAUAGAGGGGCUCAACCCCUUCCCGCCAUUGAAACUGGCGCUCUAGAGUGGAAGAGAAGUAUGCGGAAUGCGUGGUGUAGCGGUGAAAUGCAUAGAUAUCACGCAGAACCCCGAUGGCGAAGGCAGCAUGCCGGCUUCCGACUGACGCUGAAGCACGAAAGCGUGGGGAGCGAACAGGAUUAGAUACCCUAGUAGUC